Helianthus annuus (common sunflower) is the source of this 1720-nucleotide RNA transcript. RefSeq lists it as uncharacterized. The transcript has 6 exons. The record is from RefSeq and is a predicted model, not a curated record. NCBI's taxonomy places the organism in Eukaryota, Viridiplantae, Streptophyta, Magnoliopsida, Asterales, Asteraceae.
GACGUUUGGUUUAGACUCUAGAUUGCAACCCAUAAUCGAAAUAAUGCCAAUUGUGGUAAUAGUAUCUUAUUUCUGCUGUGCAUUAGGUUAAGGAUACCACAGAAUCUAUGCCUCGUGGUGGUGGAAGCACUUCAAACCGCGGUGCCAGAAGCGGUAUAGAUUGUUAUUCUGGGCGUGGUGGUUCAUCACAGUUUAGCUCUUCUGGUACGUCAAACAACCAAUACAUCAAUUCUUGUACAGAAGAGACGCCAGCCGAAGAUGAACAUGUUUUUGAAGAACACACUGAAAACGUUGUUUCAAGUAGAAAUACGCAUGAGGAUACAUCUGGGAGUGCAUCUCUUCAUGACAAUGAUUUGUAUCAUGAGAUUCAAGCUUUUGAGCAUAACGAAGUUGAGGAAGGUGACGCGUUAGCAUCUUUAGUGAGUACAAACAUGCAACAACUUAAUAUACAAGAAGAAAGACAGUUUGAUGAACCUGAAGAGGACAUCCCUUCUGUAGUGAUUCCGAACCACCUGCAAGUUCAGACUGCGGAUUGCUCGCACUUGAGUUUCAGGAGCUUUAGUUCAAGAACGCUAAGGUGGUUGAGGCGUUACAAAAGGAACUGGAGAAUGCUCGAGUUCAGAUUUAGAGUGUUGAGCGUUUGUGCUCACCGAGAAGCUUGUAUUGUUGCAGGCAAUAAAAGAUGGAGUUGAUAUCUUAACACUCUCCAUAGGUCCAGAUGAACCAUAAAAGAUGGAGUUGAUAUGUUAAGCAUGUUCGACAUCUUGUUGGCACGCAAGGCCGGGGUUUUAAUGGUUCAAGCAGCUGCGAACUGCGGUCCAGAGCCGACAUGACUCAGCCUAUUCCAACUCAGGAGAUGUUAGCUAAGGAUCUCCAUGGCAUUGAGUGGCGCUUUAAGCAUAUAUUCAGAGGUCAAUAUGCUCUUGUAUUUUUCUGCGGAUGUUUAAAGAUAGCAAAAUGGGUUAGGUUGCAAUCUUUUAUCGUUUAUGUGUGUUGAAACGGGUCGGACUGAAGGGUAUCUGUUAUGUGUGCAUUCAGACGGGUUGGGUCAGAAGGGGUAAUCGAUUAAGUGUGUUCAGAGUUCAGACGGGUUGGGUCAGAAGGGGUAACCUUUUAUAUGUGUUCAGACGAGUCGGAUCAGUGGAAAUUUCCUAAAAGUGCUGCAAAUGCCGAUGACUGAUAUCACUGACAAACUCGUAUCGAAGCACAUAAAACCAUUGCCAAAUCUCACCAUCUUGGAUGUGAGCCAUUGCAUCAACAUCACAAGCGAAGGCCUUAAAACAUUCGGUGACCAAUGCAAGUCAUUGCUUCACUUGAAAAGAAACAUGCCUGCAUUCGAAGACCAGUUGUCAGUUGCCUGAUGAUUUCGAAGCCAAAGCUAUAGCUGACACCAUGCCACAUCUGCUGCAUAUUGAGCUAUGUUUCGGUCGGUUUGGUGAUUCGGGUGUCUCUGAAAUCCUCGCAAAAUGUAAGGCGCUCACUCAUCUUGUCAUUCAAUGGAGUUGGAAUGUAGAGUUGAACGGUGAUCUUGCAGAGAUAUGUGAAUGGCUCCAGCAGUGAUGUGAAUUUCAUAGAUUCGGAUUCAGAUUGAUUUGGUUGGUUUAUGUUCUUGAAUUAUGAUUUGAGUAGAGCAAUAUGGCGGUGUUGCUAAAUGCUAAUGAUGAUAUUAUUAUGCUGAGACUGUUACAUAUUUUAAUUGCUAAAAGGGUUUAAAGUGUUU